UACAGAGGUGGCAAGCGUUGUUCGGAAUUACUGGGCGUAAAGGGUGCGUAGGUGGCCUGACAAGUUAUCAGUGGCAAAUCGAGGCUCAACCUCGUGGAAACUGGUAAUACUGUCCGGCUUGAGUACAGGAGAGGUUAACGGAACUCUAUGUGGAGCGGUAAAAUGCAAAGAUAUAUAGAAGAACAUCAAUAACGGCGAAGGCAGUUAACUAUUCUGUUACUGACACUGAGGCACGAAAGCGUGGGGAGCAAAACGG
RNAcentral lists this ribosomal RNA (256 nucleotides) under uncultured bacterium. Its description in RNAcentral is "partial 16S ribosomal RNA". It matches the Rfam family "Bacterial small subunit ribosomal RNA", at positions 524 to 776 of the family's 1533-position model. The record is from RNAcentral.